GGUGAGGUGUCCGAGUGGCCGAAGGAGCACGCCUGGAAAGUGUGUAUAUCGCAAGGUAUCAAGGGUUCGACUCCCUUUCUCACCGCCA
Molecule: transfer RNA, 88 nt
Filed under: Gammaproteobacteria bacterium
Lineage: Bacteria; Pseudomonadati; Pseudomonadota; Gammaproteobacteria
Description: tRNA-Ser
Rfam family: tRNA
About the family: Transfer RNA (tRNA) molecules are approximately 80 nucleotides in length. Their secondary structure includes four short double-helical elements and three loops (D, anti-codon, and T loops).
Source: RNAcentral